UUUAACAAACUUAUAGGCCCACGGAGAUGAGACCGCGACGGGCGCGGCGGCGCCGGCUCCCCGCAUUCCGGCGGCCGGGCACCGCGUCGCCGCCCCUCCCCUCCCCUCUCCUCCUCGACUGGGAACCCGUGCAGAACUGCAGAUCGGUGACCUGCCCUACGUCUUCGCCAGUUCAUGUUAGAAUCGCCGGCGCCGCCGCCCCUGGCGCCAGGAGGUGCCCUCGGGCUAACUCCUUGCCUCUCCUCGGACACAGCCACCGCCCGCCCCUCUGCCAUUCAGCUCCACUUCCCUCGCGGAUGAGUAUCCGUUUUAGCCGAGUAGAUUGGCUUUUGAUGGCAUCACGGCCUUUCGGGGUAUUCAAACUCAUGAAGCUAGACAUGGUUGCAUGUUAGUUAGAACAAAUAGGAUGGACAAAUAAUAAAGUUAUUUUGGGAUGGAAGGAGUAGAUGUGUUUGUGUAGGGUGCUGCCCUUUAAAGUUACAAGGAUACAUCUACAUGCGCUGUUGCUUCCAUCAGAUUGGUUCAUCCAGCUAUGUCUAUCCAUAGCAGAAGUGCCUUUGGCUCCAUAUUAUCUGCUUCUCGAAGAUUUGUCCUAAAGAUCACUGGUCCAGACAUUGGUAUAUAAAAAGGUAGUUGUAGUGCUUCCAAGGCGGUGGAACCGUGGAAGGGGCUGUAUGCUCUCAAAGCGUCCAAGUACGUGCCGUCGACUUGGUGGCGGAAAUGCGUCUCGAUGCAAUGAACCUACUUUUGCAGCCGAUCGCCUGCCAGUUACCAUCAUCGAACCACGGGUCCUGUUUAUUUUAAUUUUUUGGUGGUUGCUGCAUGAGCAUGACUAGCCAUUACGCAACGAGCAUUGGUUCGUGGCGAUUUUUGCACCUGGACUGCAAUUUGGAUCAAGUUCAAGCAUAUUUUGAUGAUCAUUACAAGUAGCGUUUGUAGUUGUGUGAAUGGAUGGCGUGGGUGGAGUCCAAAGUAAGAAACAAGACAACAUUAGCUGAUGAUGUUGCCAACGGCCAAGCAAAGAAGUGGGUGACGAUAUAC
This is a long non-coding RNA of Oryza brachyantha (malo sina), 1041 nucleotides long. RefSeq lists it as uncharacterized. NCBI's taxonomy places the organism in Eukaryota, Viridiplantae, Streptophyta, Magnoliopsida, Poales, Poaceae. The record is from RefSeq and is a predicted model, not a curated record. The transcript is spliced from 6 exons.